UAGGACUUCAUUUCGAUGAAAUUCCAUCAGCAUUUGCGGUCUAUAAAUAGACGGCCUCCUCGUCGGCCUCGGUUUCGUUUUGCUUCGCACGCGGCGGCAACAAGGUUAAGAGAGAGAGAGAGAGAGAGAGGAAUUUUUCUUUUUCUUUUUUCUUGAAAAUAUUAUUAUAUAUAGAAAAGGGGAGGAAUUGGAUCUCUCUCCUCUACUUCGACUUCGAUCGUUCUGUGAUAACUGGGGUUUUCUGUUUGGUGAUCAUAACUGCAAGGGACGGACAAAAUUUAUCAUCAACAAUGGAGGUAUAUGGCAGUUCCAUGGUUGUCGAGCACAGCAAUGUGAUUUUUUUGUCCACUAUUCUGAACAGGGAUGGACCAAUCCCUAUUCACAAAUGUGACAGUAAAUGCCAAAAUGAACACAUUUUUGGGAAUAUGUAUCACUGCAAACUAACAGGAAUCACACAUAUCUGUGAUAAAAACUGUACCCAGAGAAUUUUGUAUGAUAACCAUAGCUCACUUUGCAGAGUUAGUGGCCAGAUUUUCCCUCUCUCGCCAGUUGAAGAGCAGGCGGUGAGAGGACUUCGAAGGAAGCUUGAAAUAGCGAGUACUGAUGGCUGCGCUCGUAAGCGUAGGCGGGAUGCUCAACUGCAUCCCUCUCCUUUUGAGAGGUCUUUUUCUGCAGUCUCUCCAAUCUGCAGCCAAGUUGGAGAUGGCAUGAACAUGAACUAGUACCCAUUAAUCCCAUCACUUUCGUAUUCCCAAUUUAACUGUUUUCCUCUUUUUGUUCUCUUUCAUGAAAAAAUGGAAUGAAGUACUUUGUUGAGACUUAAGUAAGUUGAGCAUGCUCCAAAGAUGUAGGUUGUCUUUGACAACUUUUAUUUUAGCAUAUUUAUGGGACAAAUAUUUAUGUAAUAUCUGACUUAUAUAGACUUCUGCGACAUUAGUGAACUUAUGGUGUCAAAAUCCUAUUUGCAUAAUCGUCAGCUUUUCUGUCAAUUUAGCUGCUUAUUUAAUCAUUACUUCCUAGCUUAUAAGCUAUACCAAUCAAAGUUUCUGUCAUUGGUCAAGGCUGUACCAUUAUUGUUGUUAUGAUGCCAUCGUAUAUUUGAGAUUGUUAAUUGUAUUCACUUAUCUAUCUAGUUUCAUGCCUCUGCUGCAUUUUGAUUUGUUAGAUGUUUGCAUCUUGUUAUAUUGUUAGGAGCAAUAACAUUGAACGGAUUAGCUAAUGUUCAUUGUGUAUUUCCUUAGUUGUGAGCUUUCUCAAUUCUAUCACAGCAAUGUUUAUAUAAUAUUUGUGCAAGAAGACCAAAUGCUGCCAGUGCAGGCUUUGAUUGUUUAAUGAAAGAUAAUGUUUUUUCUACUGUUGCAAUUUUUCAUGUCAUUUUUUAUUAAUUCAAGGCUGAUGGAGGCAUAUUUUAUAUUGUUCUUUUAUGUUAUUUUUUAUGUUAAUUUCUUAUAAUUAAAUCUUUAAGUUCUUUUGCAGGCAUAUCAGAGGUUUGGCAACUCAGACUACUUAUGAGUACUAUUUUAGCAAUUUUUCGCUACAACUUCAAGGAAUGUAAUGCUUUGAAAUUGUUUUUCUUGUAGGUGUGUGAAAUAAUCUCCAAGUGAAUCCCAGUUUCACAAUUUAUAGCGUGAGUACUCAGAAAGAGAACAGAUUGCAACAUUGGCAUAGUUUUGCAACAUUAAUUUAUGGAUGAACAUCUGAACGGGAGCCUUUCUUGGCCUCUCAUUAUGCUAUAAUGCAUGAACAUCUGAAGCCUAUCAGUUUAAUUUCUACUGGAACAGUUUUCAAUCAAGCAAUGGAGUCUGCUACAAAAUAGUCCACAUGUUUCAGUAGAGUUGAGAAGUAACGCCAAUCAUGCAGCUUCUCUAGUUGCAAAGAGUUUUCUCUUCUCUGUAACCUUUUUUAGCAUUGGAAAUUUUGAAUCUGUACCUUCCACUUCUCCUACAGGUGUAUGAAGUAAUCUCCAAGUGACUCUUAGUUUCACGAUUACUAGCAUGAAUGUGCAGCAAGACAACAGGUUGCAAUUUUGACGUAUUUUGGCAACAAUCAUUUCAAGUGUUUCAAAAAGUUUUGCAGGGGGGGUCCUCUGUUGGCUUCCUGAGAUAAUCUAACGAUGACUUCAGGUCCAUAAGUCUUAUUUCUUAUGGAUUAACUUUCAUUAAAGUGGUUGACUCUGCUGCAAAGUAAUUUUCAUGGUUUCAUUGAGUUCUUGAGGAGGAAUACCAAUUAUGCGUCCCGUCUGGUUGAAAGAAUCUGAAUGUGUACUGUGACCUGUUUUACAUGUUCUUGACGUUGACUGUAAUCGGUUGCCUUAUAUUAUAAAUCUAUGGAUUAUCCUC
RNA transcript from Asparagus officinalis (garden asparagus), 2339 nucleotides. RefSeq lists it as uncharacterized. The record is from RefSeq and is a predicted model, not a curated record. The transcript has 3 exons. Lineage: Eukaryota; Viridiplantae; Streptophyta; Magnoliopsida; Asparagales; Asparagaceae.